GACGAACGCUGGCGGCGUGCCUAACACAUGCAAGUCGAGCGGGGAUUGUGGAGAGGCUUGCUCAAAACCAAUUCUAGCGGCGGACGGGUGAGUAACGCGUGAGCAACCUGCCUUCUACUGGGGGAAUAACGCACCGAAAGGUGUGCUAAUACCGCAUGAGACCACAGGACCGCAUGGUCUAGAGGUCAAAGAUUUAUCGGUAGAAGAUGGGCUCGCGUCUGAUUAGCUGGUUGGUGAGGUAACGGCCCACCAAGGCGACGAUCAGUAGCCGACCUGAGAGGGUGGUCGGCCACAUUGGAACUGGAGAAACGGUCCAA
Molecule: ribosomal RNA, 317 nt
Filed under: uncultured bacterium
Lineage: Bacteria
Description: bacterial SSU rRNA
Rfam family: Bacterial small subunit ribosomal RNA
Source: RNAcentral